This is a non-coding RNA of Vigna umbellata (rice bean), 821 nucleotides long. The record is from RefSeq and is a predicted model, not a curated record. Lineage: Eukaryota; Viridiplantae; Streptophyta; Magnoliopsida; Fabales; Fabaceae.
UUUCUACAGCUCCACCUCCUAGUGCUAAUGUAAGCUCAUUAGAAGAGAAUACAAGAAUGGGUCUCCGAAGAAGAAGACACCACCACAGAUUUCUCCAUCGACAAUACCGUGCGCAAGAGAUCAGACGUCACUCCAACUUUCAUUCCUACGUAACUGCUUCAACAUAUAGAGUUCCAGAAACAACAAAUCAUUCAAGAAGUUCUUCAAUGCCCAUACAAAAUGCACCUGAUAGAGACAACAUGCAUAAUCUUCAUCCUCCUGCAUUUCGUGAAUUUCCUUCGUAUAUGCUCAUGAACACUGAUGACAUGUCAUACGAGACACUUUAUAAUGUGCAAGAAUUUCCUUCAUUAGGUGACCCUCAUAGUGAUAUGCGCUUGGACAUUGAUGGCAUGUCAUAUGAGGCAAGUAUAUUAUAUAUGUAUAGUCUGAUGUUUUUUUUCUAUGCAUACUAAAAUCUUAGUGAUUAUGAAAAACUUUAAAUUACUAACGGUUUGAAAUUGGACAACAGGAGCUUCUUGAGUUAAGUGAAUGGAUCAGUGGCAACUCGGAAAAGGGUUUGUCAGAAGAUAUUAUUGCAAGACAUAUGCAGACAAAAAGUUAUCUAAUAUCUGAGAACUUGGGGGAUCAGGAAUCUGAUAUUUGCAUAAUAUGUCAGGAUGAAUAUAAAAAUAAAGAGGAGAUUGGAAUUCUUCAAUGCGGACAUGAAUACCAUGCAGAGUGUAUAAAGAGAUGGUUACAUGAGAAAAAUGUUUGUCCCAUGUGCAAAUCAAAAGGAUUAACUAUUGAAUAGAUACGAAAAAUUAAAACUACAUAAUUCAUUA